RNAcentral lists this ribosomal RNA (253 nucleotides) under uncultured bacterium. RNAcentral's name for it is "partial 16S ribosomal RNA". It matches the Rfam family "Bacterial small subunit ribosomal RNA", at positions 524 to 776 of the family's 1533-position model. The record is from RNAcentral.
UACGUAGGGUGCAAGCGUUGUCCGGAAUUAUUGGGCGUAAAGAGCUUGUAGGCGGUUUGUCGCGUCUGCUGUGAAAUUUCGGGGCUCAACCCCGAACUUGCAGUGGGUACGGGCAGACUAGAGUGUGGUAGGGGAGACUGGAAUUCCUGGUGUAGCGGUGAAAUGCGCAGAUAUCAGGAGGAACACCGAUGGCGAAGGCAGGUCGCUGGGACGUAACUGACGCUGAGACGCGAAAGCGUGGGGAGCAAACAGG